GCAACAUCCUCCAGAACGUCAGUGUGACUGUUGGCCUCGUACGACGUUGUUGUCUUCCAAUUUAGGUCAGUGAUGCAGGUCAUCGUAAACUCUCUUACUGGAAGGAGGGUUAGGACUGACGUUGAUCCGAGGGACACAGUGGACAACUUGAGGGAGAAAGUAAAAGACUAUUUUGACACCCCCUUAGACCAAAUUAGAUUGGUUUUCGUAGGGAAGCAUCUGAAAGAUGGGAGGACAUUGGAAUAUUACGGGAUCACAGACGAAAGUGUUAUUCAAUUUCAGCUGCGUCUGCGAGGAGGAGGACAGCCUUUUAUUACCCUCAGAGUGCUGCUGCCUUCAUCAGGCUUCAUCAAGAUCCACGUCUGUCAACAUGGUGAUGUAACCAGUGUGAAGGAAGCUAAGGAGAUGAUUGCGGAGCAGACAGGAGUGCACAGCACUCUUCAGGAACUGUCGUUUAGAGGAGUAGUGAUGAACGACGAUGAAUACUUCUCUAACUAUGUCAUCCAAGAUGAUGACAUCAUCCAGAUGAGCCAAGUGAACGACAAUGAUCAGAGUUUUUGUGUCAUCCUCUAACAGCUGACACAAAGCUCGCUAUCCCACACUUACUGAUCAAAUUUUCAACUGCUCUCUUAUAGAUUUCCUUGCACAAAAAUUUCACUUGCAACGCUGCAAAUUAAUUUCGAUAAAAAGUCAAUUUUAACUUGCCAUAUACACAAAUUUUUAACAGCAAUAAAUUGCUUUAAAUUAAAAUAAUUUGUAAUAUUUCAUAUAUGUAAGUGAAUCUAUGUAAACAAACAAUGAUAUAGAAAUUAAAGAGAAGAAUUUUAA
This is a non-coding RNA of Cherax quadricarinatus, 828 nucleotides long. The record is from RefSeq and is a predicted model, not a curated record. Lineage: Eukaryota; Metazoa; Arthropoda; Malacostraca; Decapoda; Parastacidae.